GGCACUUUGGCCGAGUGGUCUAAGGCGCCGUGUUCAGGUCAAUCUUUGAUCUUCGCGGUCUGUUAAAGGCGUGGGUUCGAAUCCCACAGGUGUCA
This 95-nucleotide transfer RNA is filed under the name Ophiocordyceps unilateralis. It matches the Rfam family "tRNA". Rfam says of the family: Transfer RNA (tRNA) molecules are approximately 80 nucleotides in length. Their secondary structure includes four short double-helical elements and three loops (D, anti-codon, and T loops). Further hydrogen bonds mediate the characteristic L-shaped molecular structure. tRNAs have two regions of fundamental functional importance: the anti-codon, which is responsible for specific mRNA codon recognition, and the 3' end, to which the tRNAs corresponding amino acid is attached (by aminoacyl-tRNA synthetases). tRNAs cope with the degeneracy of the genetic code in two manners: having more than one tRNA (with a specific anti-codon) for a particular amino acid; and 'wobble' base-pairing, i.e. permitting non-standard base-pairing at the 3rd anti-codon position. The record is from Rfam by way of RNAcentral. Lineage: Eukaryota; Fungi; Ascomycota; Sordariomycetes; Hypocreales; Ophiocordycipitaceae.